This 253-nucleotide ribosomal RNA is filed under the name uncultured bacterium. RNAcentral's name for it is "partial 16S ribosomal RNA". It matches the Rfam family "Bacterial small subunit ribosomal RNA", at positions 524 to 776 of the family's 1533-position model. The record is from RNAcentral.
AACGUAGGUGGCGAGCGUUAUCCGGAUUUACUGGGCGUAAAGCGUGCGCAGGCGGUCUUGCAAGACAGAUGUGAAAUCCCCGGGCUUAACCUGGGAACUGCAUUUGUGACUGCAAGGCUGGAGUACGGCAGAGGGGGAUGGAAUUCCGCGUGUAGCAGUGAAAUGCGUAGAUAUGCGGAGGAACACCGAUGGCGAAGGCAAUCCCCUGGGCCUGUACUGACGCUCAUGCACGAAAGCGUGGGGAGCAAACAGG